This 468-nucleotide ribosomal RNA is filed under the name uncultured bacterium. RNAcentral's name for it is "partial 16S ribosomal RNA". It matches the Rfam family "Bacterial small subunit ribosomal RNA", at positions 28 to 507 of the family's 1533-position model. The record is from RNAcentral.
GACGAACGCUGGCGGCGUGCUUAACACAUGCAAGUCGAACGGAAAGGCCCUGCUUUUGUGGGGUGCUCGAGUGGCGAACGGGUGAGUAACACGUGAGUAACCUGCCCUUGACUUUGGGAUAACUUCAGGAAACUGGGGCUAAUACCGGAUAGGAGCUCCUGCUGCAUGGUGGGGGUUGGAAAGUUUCGGCGGUUGGGGAUGGACUCGCGGCUUAUCAGCUUGUUGGUGGGGUAGUGGCUUACCAAGGCUUUGACGGGUAGCCGGCCUGAGAGGGUGACCGGCCACAAUGGGACUGAGAUACGGCCCAGACUGCUACGGGAGGCAGCAGUGGGGAAUAUUGCACAAUGGGCGGAAGCCUGAUGCAGCAACGCCGCGUGCGGGAUGACGGCCUUCGGGUUGUAAACCGCUUUCGCCUGUGACGAAGAGUGAGUGACGGUAAUGGGUAAAGAAGCACCGGCUAACUACGUG